CAGUCCACAGUACCUUAUGUUAUGAGUGUGUCUCUUUAAAUGAAGAAUGGUGCACAGAAUACUUUGACGAUUCUUUAUCUUACCAUAAGAAUAUCAUCAAUUGUACGGGUAACUGUAUGAAGCUGAUUGCUCACGUUGAUAAGGAAAAAGGUAUGUUUACUAUAACAAUAUCAGCAAUUGUACGGGUAACUGCACGAAGUUGAUUGAUCACGUUGAUAAGGAAAAAGGUAUGUUUACCAUAACAAUAUCAUCAAUUGUAUGGGUAACUGCAUGAAGCUGAUUGCUCACGUUGAUAAGGAAAAAGGUAUGCUUAGCAUUGAAAUGAAGUUUACUAGAUUUUCUGCAUGUACGAUUUAUAGAAGUUCUGUAAUUUGUUUAGUAUAUUUUUUUCUGGUAUCACAUAAGUUGAACAUUUGUAUACAAUUCUUUUAUGUCAUAUAAUUACAUUAGAUGUAUGUUUCAUUAUAAUACUUAAUUUUGAUUGGCUAACUGCACAUCACGUGUUAUUCCUUAAGCAAUUGCAUUACUCAAUAAAACUUAUUAUUUAUGAUAACACGUAGUCCCACAAUAAAGUGCACAGGUGAAUUAAAUAAAACAAUUAUAAAAUUCGUGUUUUCAUGAUCAUUGCUAAAAAAAUGUAAUUAUAAGUAUUGAAUGCUUCUUUUUGUAAUUUCAUAGGGGUGUAAAAGCGUUGACCGUGCGCACAUUUUCAGAAUGAAGCGCUUCCGCGCUUCAUACAAAAUGUACUUCGGUCAACGCUUUCACACCCAAGUGAAGUUAGAAAAAGAAGUAUUCAAUUCUUAAAUAAGUAAAGUGAUACUUGUGACAUAAACAAAUGUAACAACAAAAAAUAACAGAGUUGAACACACACAUAUAUCAAACAUAUUAAUUAACAUUACAUUAUGUUGUACAUUUGUUCAUUAAAUAUGAGUUAUAUUAUGUUAAGGUGUAAUUGUAGAUAACCAUACAAACAGAAGUAUACCAAGCAAAUGUACAUCUCAUAAAAUUGAGAAUGGAAAUGGGAAAUGUGUCAAAGAGACAACAACCCGAUCAUAGAGCAGACAACAGGAGAAGGUCACCAACAGGUCUUCAAUGCAACGAGAAAUUCUCGCACCCGGAGGCGUCCUUCAGCUGGCCCAUAAACAAAUAUAUACUAGUUCAGUGAUAAUGAACACCAAACUAAACUCCAAAUUGUACACAAGAAACUAAAGUUAAAAUAAUACAAGACUAACAAAGGCUGACUUGGGACAGGCGCAAAAAUGCGGCGGGUUAAACAUGUUUGUGAGAUCUCAACCCUCCCUCUAUGCCUCUAGCCAAUGCAGAAAAAGUAAAUGUAUUGAUGCAUCAUGGGAUAAAUUGUCUUACGAGGUUUAUAGACGAAUUUAGCUGAAUAUAUAUUUAUUGAUUUGCCACAAAACACCAGAUUUAAAAAAAAAAUGAACUGAAGGAUAUAUUUGGAUGAAUGCAUUUUUUUUCUUCAAAUGAAAAUGUUCUCAUAUCCUAAUGGCAUCGCCCCUUGUGUCGUCUGCAUUCACCGUAUACAUACGCUGCUACCCUUUAUGCUUUUGAUAGGGGUACAAAAAUUUCAGCUAGUCAUAUAAAUCCUGGUGUUCCAUUAAAAAAAAAAGAAAAAAUUGUGGUAUCAUAUCUUGUAUCAAUAUGUAUAACUUCUAGUAACCAAUCAAUACAUUAAAAGAAACAUAAAUUGCAUUGGAGUAUAUUUUCAAACAGUUCUAAGCAAUUAUUUAUGAGGAUCAUGAUUUCUACUUUUUUUAGAAUUUUACGUGAGAACAUGUGACAUUACCCAGGGUGUAUCAGGAACUUGUACGACAGCCAGUCAAGUGUUAGGAAUACCUGUCAGUACAGUAUGUGUAUGUGGAACCGAUGGAUGCAAUAAAGCGUAUACUACAAGAAAUGAUUAUUUGUCAACUAUUUGCUCAAUACUCGUCUCUUUUUUGUACAUUUAUACAAACUAAUUGUUUUAAACAUUUGUAUGUAUGUUUUCAUUGUUAUUAAAGUGUUGC
Molecule: long non-coding RNA, 2024 nt
Filed under: Mytilus galloprovincialis (Mediterranean mussel)
Lineage: Eukaryota; Metazoa; Mollusca; Bivalvia; Mytilida; Mytilidae
Source: RNAcentral